Molecule: ribosomal RNA, 497 nt
Filed under: uncultured bacterium
Lineage: Bacteria
Description: partial 16S ribosomal RNA
Rfam family: Bacterial small subunit ribosomal RNA
Source: RNAcentral
GAUGAACGCUGGCGGCGUGCCUAAUACAUGCAAGUCGAGCGAACGGACGAGAAGCUUGCUGCGCUGAUGUUAGCGGCGGACGGGUGAGUAACAUGUGGAUAACCUACCUAUAAGACGGGGAUAACUUCGGGAAACCGGAGCUAAUACCGGAUGAUAUCUUGAACCGCAUGGUUCGAAAGUGAAAGACGGUCUUGCUGUCACUUAUAGAUGGAUCCGCGCUGCUUUAGCUAGUUGGUAAGGUAACGGCUUACCAAGGCAACGAUGCAUAGACGACCUGAGAGAGUGAUCGGCGACCUGGGAACUUAGCCACGGUCCAUACUCCUACGGGACGCCGCAGUAGGGAAUCUUCCGCAAUGGGCGAAAGCCUGACGGAGCAACGCCGCGUGAGUUAUGAAAAUCUUCGGAUCGUAAAACUCUGUUACUAGGUAUGAACAUCUGUGUACGUAACUGUGCCCAUCUUGACGGUACCUAAUCAGAAAGCCACGGCUAACUACGUG